This 318-nucleotide ribosomal RNA is filed under the name uncultured eukaryote. RNAcentral describes it as "partial large subunit ribosomal RNA". It matches the Rfam family "Eukaryotic large subunit ribosomal RNA", at positions 40 to 350 of the family's 3401-position model. The record is from RNAcentral.
AUAUUAUUAAGCGGAGGAAAAGAAACUAACAAGGAUGCCCUCAGUAACGGCGAGUGAAGCGGGCAAAGCUCAACCUGAAAAUCGGAUAUCCAAGCGGGUGUUCGAAUUGUGGGCUAGAGACGCGUGAUCAGUGUGUGACCCAGGUAUAAAUCUUUUGAAACAAGGUAUCAUAGAGGGUGAGAAUCCCGUCUUUGACCUGGAGUUUCGCCACGUACGAUCCGUGUUCACAGAGUCGAGUUGUUUGGGAUUGCAGCUCUAAAUGGGUGGUGAACUCCAUCUAAAGCUAAAUAUUGGCGAGAGACCGAUAGCGCACAAGUA